ACAAAGGCUCUUUUCAGAGCCACCCACUCACUCGGUUAUCUAGAG
Xenopus tropicalis (tropical clawed frog) is the source of this 45-nucleotide non-coding RNA. NCBI's taxonomy places the organism in Eukaryota, Metazoa, Chordata, Amphibia, Anura, Pipidae. The record is from Rfam.